GCAAGAUCCUCAUUCUUAGAAUCAUCCAACAUGGUUUUACGGUGAUGAUAUGGGAUUGGAUUGGAGGCUGGAAAAGAUGAGCAGGUUAAUCCUAAGAUCGAUUACACUGCUCUGAUACCAUGAUUUUCAUUGAGGACCUAGUGGUCACCGGGUUCUUGUCAAAGACAACCCCCCGUCAGCCCUGCCUACGGACGCGAUGUUCUAUCGGGCCCCGGCCGCCGCGCAAACUGACCUUCGCCCGGAAACCAUACUGCCCCCACACGAGAACUCCGCUGGGGUAACAGCUGGGUAAAACCGGGUUGCCCUCCGGAUUGAACCAUGCCUAGGUAGGAAACGAUCCAUCAUUGGGACAUCCCGCACCUUUUGCUUCAGUCGGGAGUCGAACCGGCGUCUCCAAGGAGAACACCAGCCUAACUGACCGACUGAGCUAGGGUGGGGGAUUACCCUAUUAACCCGAGAAACUUGAUGAAGGAAAUUCCUAUUUAUUUUAGGUUUUUGCAAUUCAGAAGCACGUUUUGUCCUUAACGUUUACCAGGACCAGGUAGCGUGUUGCCGACCUUCCAAGUUCCCAUUGAUAACAAGUCGUUUACAAUUCCCUCCCACAAAUUUGAUUACAAUAUCAAAUCCAGUUUCUUUAACUUAUGGAAAAUAUUUUUUAUUUUAUAUAUUUUUUCCUUUUAUAUUCAUGAUAAUCCAGUUUCUUUAUUU
This is a long non-coding RNA of Helianthus annuus (common sunflower), 708 nucleotides long. RefSeq lists it as uncharacterized. The record is from RefSeq and is a predicted model, not a curated record. NCBI's taxonomy places the organism in Eukaryota, Viridiplantae, Streptophyta, Magnoliopsida, Asterales, Asteraceae. The transcript is spliced from 2 exons.